RNAcentral lists this ribosomal RNA (497 nucleotides) under uncultured bacterium. RNAcentral describes it as "partial 16S ribosomal RNA". It matches the Rfam family "Bacterial small subunit ribosomal RNA", at positions 28 to 507 of the family's 1533-position model. The record is from RNAcentral.
GAUGAACGCUGGCGGCGUGCCUAAUACAUGCAAGUCGAGCGAACAGACGAGGAGCUUGCUCCUCUGACGUUAGCGGCGGACGGGUGAGUAACACGUGGAUAACCUACCUAUAAGACUGGGAUAACUUCGGGAAACCGGAGCUAAUACCGGAUAAUAUAUUGAACCGCAUGGUUCAAUAGUGAAAGACGGUUUUGCUGUCACUUAUAGAUGGAUCCGCGCCGCAUUAGCUAGUUGGUAAGGUAACGGCUUACCAAGGCAACGAUGCGUAGCCGACCUGAGAGGGUGAUCGGCCACACUGGAACUGAGACACGGUCCAGACUCCUACGGGAGGCAGCAGUAGGGAAUCUUCGGCAAUGGGCGAAAGCUUGACGGAGCAACGCCGCGUGAGUGAUGAAGGUCUUCGGAUCGUAAAACUCUGUUAUUAGGGAAGAACACAUGUGUAAGAAACUAUGCACGUCUUGACGGUACCUAAUCAGAAAGCCACGGCUAACUACGUG